CAAGAACAUCUAAGUAAUCAUGUAAAGUUUGGGUCUAUUUCAUGUUUUUCAAUUCAGCUAAGGGGUCAUCAAACCCCUAUGUCCCAAACCUAGCCCUCAAAGCCCUUACAUACUUUGCCCAAUCAUUAUAAACAGUAGGACCUUUUACAAUCAUAUAACCCUGAUGCCAUAGAAUUGCUUUUCCCUCCAAAUGAAGAACAACAAGUUUAACUCUACUCUUAGUAGAUACAUUGACCACUUCAAAAUAAUACUCAGUUUUCAACAACCAUGACUCUAAUUCACUUCCAUCAAAACAAGGAAAAUCCAAUUUAAAAUUAGGCCAAAAAGAAUUAGGUCUAUUAUUGUUACCUAAAGUUCCAACAAUUGAUCCUCUAUUAGCUGCAACUUCAUUGUUCUGCAAACUCAAGCUAACUAUCAAAGAUUUAAGCUCCAAGAUGGCCUAAGUAUUGCGAGUUUCUAAUUCUUGCUACCAAACCACUUGCCUCUGUUCCCAUCAUUGAUCUAACUCACGUAACAUCAAAGAAACCUCUUUUUUCCAAUUAUGAGACCUUGUUUCUUCAGCCAUGGCCCAGGAUCGAGAGCUUUGAUACUAAAUGAUGUGUUACAGUUUAGAAAGAAGAAUUUAAAGAGAGGAGAGAAUAAGAUAAGAACUCAGAGAGAAGAAGAAAG
RNAcentral lists this unclassified non-coding RNA (669 nucleotides) under Hevea brasiliensis (rubber tree). The record is from RNAcentral. Lineage: Eukaryota; Viridiplantae; Streptophyta; Magnoliopsida; Malpighiales; Euphorbiaceae.